CACGUAGGGGGCGAGCGUUGUCCGGAUUUAUUGGGCGUAAAGAGCUCGUAGGCGGCUCGGUAAGUCGGGUGUGAAACCUCCAGGCUCAACCUGGAGACGCCACCCGAUACUACCGUGGCUAGAGUCCGGUAGAGGAGCGUAGAAUUCCUGGUGUAGCGGUGAAAUGCGCAGAUAUCAGGAGGAAUACCAGCGGCGAAGGCGGCGCUCUGGGCCGGUACUGACGCUGAGGAGCGAAAGCGUGGGGAGCAAACAGG
This 254-nucleotide ribosomal RNA is filed under the name uncultured bacterium. RNAcentral describes it as "partial 16S ribosomal RNA". It matches the Rfam family "Bacterial small subunit ribosomal RNA", at positions 524 to 776 of the family's 1533-position model. The record is from RNAcentral.